RNAcentral lists this ribosomal RNA (249 nucleotides) under uncultured bacterium. RNAcentral's name for it is "partial 16S ribosomal RNA". It matches the Rfam family "Bacterial small subunit ribosomal RNA", at positions 523 to 769 of the family's 1533-position model. The record is from RNAcentral.
AUACGUAGGUGGCAAGCGUUGUCCGGGAUUUACUGGGUGUAAAGGGGUGCGUAGGCGGGAUGGCAAGUCAGAUGUGAAAUCUCCAGGCUUAACCUGGAGCGUGCAUUUGAAACUGCUGUUCUUGAGUGAUGGAGAGGCAAGUGGAAUUCCUAGUGUAGCGGUGAAAUGCGUAGAUAUUAGGAGGAACACCAGUGGCGAAGGCGACUUGCUGGACAUUAACUGACGCUGAAGCACGAAAGCGUGGGGAGC